This 787-nucleotide ribosomal RNA is filed under the name uncultured archaeon. RNAcentral's name for it is "bacterial SSU rRNA". It matches the Rfam family "Archaeal small subunit ribosomal RNA", at positions 83 to 876 of the family's 1478-position model. The record is from RNAcentral.
CUCGGCUCAGUAACACGUCGUUAAUCUGCCCUAAGGUCAGGGAUACCCACGGGAAACUGUGGUUAAUACCUGAUAAGGAACACAUACUGGAAUGUGGUGUUCUCUAAACUCGAGCCUUAGGAUGAGACGGCGGCCGAUUAGGCUGUUGGUGGUGUAAAGGACCACCAAACCAAAGAUCGGUACGGGCCAUGAGAGUGGUAGCCCGGAGAGGGACACUGAGAUACUGGUCCCAGCCCUACGGGGUGCAGCAGGCGCGAAACCUUUACAAUGCACGCAAGUGUGAUAAGGGAAUCCCAAGUGCUCAAGCAUUGCUUGGGCUUUUGCCAAGUGUAAAUAGCUUGGCGAAUAAGUGGUGGGAAAGACUGGUGCCAGCCGCCGCGGUAACACCAGCGCCACGAGUGGCAAUCACGUUUAUUGGGCCUAAAGCGUCCGUAGCAGGUUUCAUAAAUCUCUUGUGAAAUUGCUAGGCUUAACCUAGCAGCUGGCAGGAGACACUGUGAGACUCGAGACCGGGAAGGGUAAGAGGUAUUCCUGAGGGAGCGGUAAAAUGCUAUAAUCUCAGGAGGACCACCUGUGGCGAAGGCGUCUUACUAGAACGGAUCUGACUGUGAGGGACGAAAGCUAGGGGAGCAAACCGGAUUAGAUACCCGAGUAGUCCUAGCCGUAAACGCUGUGAGCUAGGUGUUGCGUAUUCUACGGGAAUGCGCAGUGUCGAAAGGAAGCUAUUAAGCUCACCGCCUGGGAAGUACGGUCGCAAGACUGAAACUUAAAGGAAUUGGCGGGGGAG